UGAUACAAAUUCUAACUGUCUCAUGAAUAUCUACAUAAAUUGCAUUGCAUUAUUUACAAGUGUUUAAAUGACCGAUGCAAUCACAAUAUGACUUGAUCUUAAUGACAGGGGCUCUGUAUUUGGCCUGGUAUUUGAAUGUCGUUGCACUUCUACACUGUCCGUUUGGUCUAUUCAGUCAAGUGUGUCUGCUCAGUUCUAUAGUAAUCCUCCUAAAGAGAAGGGAUAAUAAACUUCCUAAUAUGCAAAGAUUUAGGCUGAAAAGCGCAGGAGUAGGUGACAAAUCACUGUAACAAAAGUGGCCGUAUUUUAAACAGAAAGUACAAGUGUUAAAGGCCUUUUUGACCGUUCUUUUAGCACCAGUUGAAACAUACAGCUUCCAAACUGACAGCAAAAGACUUAAAGUCAUCGGAAAAGCACAGCGUCCACUACCACUCAACGCGGGAGACAGUGUUGGCGUGUACCCGAUAUCAAAGCAGUUUGAGAGGUACUGCUAUACUGUGAUCCUACAUCCACCAAAGGAAACUUUAGUUACUUCAGGAAAUCAGUAUUUUUCACAAAAAGAGUAUAUUUUCACAACCGGAGAGAGGGUUAUGAAGUUUUCUAGCAGUAUCUUUGAAUCUCAGAUAUAUUUAGUCUUUGAUUACCAUCUAACGUUUAUCCAUGAAUAAAACAUUAGGACAUCUGUUUUUCAUAUAUAAAAAUGACAUUUAGUGUGACGCUGGGAUUUUGUUUGAAGUUUUUAUAUUUGUGUACAAAACUAUCCAAUAUUCUUGACUCUCGUGAAAAGUAAAAACGAAUAAAAUAAAUGACAGUCAACAUAGUUGAGUUAUCACAAAAAAGGCUAAAUGUUAAAUAGCUACUAUAUCUAGUAGCCUUAAGAAUAUAAUAAAUGUUUUCAGUGUUGCCACUAUACAUCUUAUAAAACGAAUAACAGUUUGAAGCAAAUGUAUACUGCAGAAGUAAGAUCUUGGUGGGGUGUUUUUUGAGGGCGCUAAAAUAAAUUCUUAAAACUGA
This is a long non-coding RNA of Mercenaria mercenaria, 1014 nucleotides long. RefSeq lists it as uncharacterized. The transcript is spliced from 4 exons. The record is from RefSeq and is a predicted model, not a curated record. Lineage: Eukaryota; Metazoa; Mollusca; Bivalvia; Venerida; Veneridae.